UCACACUAGGUGGUGUGGGCAGCAAA
Molecule: non-coding RNA, 26 nt
Filed under: Homo sapiens (human)
Lineage: Eukaryota; Metazoa; Chordata; Mammalia; Primates; Hominidae
Source: RNAcentral